GACGUAGGUCGCAAACGUUAUCCGGAAUCAUUGGGCGUAAAGGGUGCGUAGAUGGCAUGAUAAGUUAUUAGUGGGAAAUCGAGGCUCAACCUCGUGGAAGCUGGUAAUACUGUUUUGCUUGAGUGCAGGAGAGGUUAACGGAACUCCAUGUGGAGCGGUAAAAUGCGUAGAUAUAUGGAAGAACAUCAAUAACGGCGAAGGCAGUUAACUAUUCUGCUACUGACAUUGAGGCACGAAAGCGUGGGGAGCAAAACGG
This 256-nucleotide ribosomal RNA is filed under the name uncultured prokaryote. Its description in RNAcentral is "partial 16S ribosomal RNA". It matches the Rfam family "Bacterial small subunit ribosomal RNA", at positions 524 to 776 of the family's 1533-position model. The record is from RNAcentral.